RNAcentral lists this ribosomal RNA (428 nucleotides) under uncultured bacterium. Its description in RNAcentral is "bacterial SSU rRNA". It matches the Rfam family "Bacterial small subunit ribosomal RNA", at positions 354 to 774 of the family's 1533-position model. The record is from RNAcentral.
GUAGGGAAUAUUGGACAAUGGGGGCAACCCUGAUCCAGCCAUGCCGCGUGAGUGAAGAAGGCCCUCGGGUUGUAAAGCUCUUUUGUCCGGAAAGAAAAGCAUUCGGUGAAUACCCGGAUGUUCUGACGGUACCGGAAGAAUAAGCACCGGCUAACUUCGUGCCAGCAGCCGCGGUAAUACGAAGGGUGCAAGCGUUACUCGGAAUUACUGGGCGUAAAGCGUGCGUAGGUGGUUGUUUAAGUCUGAUGUGAAAGCCCUGGGCUCAACCUGGGAAUGGCAUUGGAAACUGGGCAGCUAGAGUGCGGUAGAGGGUAGUGGAAUUCCCGGUGUAGCAGUGAAAUGCGUAGAGAUCGGGAGGAACAUCUGUGGCGAAGGCGACUGCCUGGACCAGCACUGACACUGAGGCACGAAAGCCUGGGGAGCAAACA